CCUACGGGCGGCAGCAGUGAGGAAUAUUGGUCAAUGGGCUUACGCCUGAACCAGCCAAGUCGCGUGAGGGAAGACUGCCCUAUGGGUUGUAAACCUCUUUUGUCAGGGAGCAACGCCGGCUACGCGUAGCCGGACUGAGAGUACCUGAAGAAAAAGCAUCGGCUAACUCCGUGCCAGCAGCCGCGGUAAUACGGAGGAUGCGAGCGUUAUCCGGAUUUAUUGGGUUUAAAGGGUGCGUAGGCGGAAUGCCAAGUCAGCGGUAAAAGCGCGGGGCUCAACCUCGCUCCGCCGUUGAAACUGGCGUUCUUGAGUGGGCGAGAAGUAUGCGGAAUGCGUGGUGUAGCGGUGAAAUGCAUAGAUAUCGCGCAGAACUCCGAUUGCGAAGGCAGCAUACCGGCGCCCAACUGACGCUGAAGCACGAAAGCGUGGGUAUCGAACAGGAUUAGAUACCCUUGUAGUC
This 460-nucleotide ribosomal RNA is filed under the name uncultured bacterium. Its description in RNAcentral is "partial 16S ribosomal RNA". It matches the Rfam family "Bacterial small subunit ribosomal RNA", at positions 338 to 795 of the family's 1533-position model. The record is from RNAcentral.